Molecule: ribosomal RNA, 586 nt
Filed under: uncultured bacterium
Lineage: Bacteria
Description: partial 16S ribosomal RNA
Rfam family: Bacterial small subunit ribosomal RNA
Source: RNAcentral
UGGGGAAUUUUGGACAAUGGGCGAAAGCCUGAUCCAGCAAUGCCGCGUGUGUGAAGAAGGCCUUCGGGUUGUAGAGCACUUUUGUCCGGAAAGAAAUCCUUGGCUCUAAUACAGUCGGGGGAUGACGGUACCGGAAGAAUAAGCACCGGCUAACUACGUGCCAGCAGCCGCGGUAAUACGUAGGGUGCAAGCGUUAAUCGGAAUUACUGGGCGUAAAGCGUGCGCAGGCGGUUUGCUAAGACCGAUGUGAAAUCCCCGGGCUCAACCUGGGAACUGCAUUGGUGACUGGCAGGCUAGAGUAUGGCAGAGGGGGGUAGAAUUCCACGUGUAGCAGUGAAAUGCGUAGAGAUGUGGAGGAAUACCGAUGGCGAAGGCAGCCCCCUGGGCCAAUACUGACGCUCAUGCACGAAAGCGUGGGGAGCAAACAGGAUUAGAUACCCUGGUAGUCCACGCCCUAAAACGAUGUCAACUAGUUGUUGGGGAUUCAUUUCCUUAGUAACGUAGCUAACGCGUGAAGUUGACCGCCUGGGGAGUACGGUCGCAAGAUUAAAACUUAAAUGAAUUGACGGGGUCAUAGCUGUUUCCU